Molecule: long non-coding RNA, 326 nt
Organism: Bolinopsis microptera
Lineage: Eukaryota; Metazoa; Ctenophora; Tentaculata; Lobata; Bolinopsidae
Exons: 3
Source: RefSeq, a predicted model, not a curated record
AACUUUAAUCUGAUAGAAGAUAUCGUAUGCGGAACCCAAGCCCGGCUAUGUCUGUACAUAAUAACGAAAGAAACCGGUUAUGCUGCGAGGGCGUUUAGCUCGAUAGAUGUUGAAAAUGCCCACAGCAUUAUAAAUCAUUUGGACCGCCGAGGGGUCCAAAACUCCUCAAUCGAAGAGCUUAGUAGACAUGUCAGCAACCUACAGAGACUUCAAAUUCUCAGGAAAACCUCUCUAGGACGGAAGCUUUAUACUCCGACAUCCACAAUUUACCACGCCCCUGAGAUCGACAAAGGUCUUUCUGAUAGAUUGACUUCCAGCCAAUUCGA